GUGCAUAAACCCAUUGAUAUUGAGAGUAAACCAGACUCAUUAUGAACUAGUCAGUUGUGUUAAUUGAUCUUGGUACGUGGCGUAUCGUCACAGCCUUCUGACAAACAGCUGAUUGAGGCAGUGAUUGUAUCAGCUUGUAUAGAACAGCUGAGCUCUCAUUCACUUUUUCUUCUUUUUUUGUAGCCACACGUUUUUUGACCGCUGUACCGCUCAGUACCGCUAAGGGAUUGUGAAUUUAAGUUUUAUUUUUUUUAAAUAUCUUUUAUGUUUUGCUCUGCUGUCAAUCCCUGUACGCCAUCUAGUAAGGAGAGUUUAUUAUUUGCUGAUG
Long non-coding RNA from Sander lucioperca (pikeperch), 328 nucleotides. RefSeq lists it as uncharacterized. The transcript has 2 exons. Lineage: Eukaryota; Metazoa; Chordata; Actinopteri; Perciformes; Percidae. The record is from RefSeq and is a predicted model, not a curated record.